Esox lucius (northern pike) is the source of this 356-nucleotide long non-coding RNA. The record is from Ensembl. NCBI's taxonomy places the organism in Eukaryota, Metazoa, Chordata, Actinopteri, Esociformes, Esocidae.
GUAAAGGUCAAGUAAAGUACAAAUCACAACAAAUCUCUCCAACCACCUACUAAGGCGCCAUGGGAUUUCACACAACACCGAAACAACAGGAAUCUAGGAAACUUCACCUGCACUGUCCAGUAUCCAGGUCUGUCCUUUCCAAAACCACCAAGGAUUCGAGAAAUGUCUAGCCAGGCAUUAGGAUCAGAAGAAAAUAAUUAUAAAUCCAGGUCCAGGAGUCCACUCCAUGACUCUCAUUUUCUUCUCCAAAGUUCUCGCUCUCCACGCCAGCAGUCCAACACUCCCAGCCACAGCACUGUACACCAACAGUCCCACACUCUGCACCAUAGCACUUCACGCGAGAGGUUCCGCACUCC